UUAUUUGAGAGUUUGAUCCUGGCUCAGGAUGAACGCUGGCGGCGUGCCUAACACAUGCAAGUUGAGCGAUUUACUUCGGUAAAGAGCGGCGGACGGGUGAGUAACGCGUGGGUAACCUACCCUGUACACACGGAUAACAUACCGAAAGGUAUGCUAAUACGGGAUAAUAUAUUUGAGAGGCAUCUCUUGAAUAUCAAAGGUGAGCCAGUACAGGAUGGACCCGCGUCUGAUUAGCUAGUUGGUAAGGUAACGGCUUACCAAGGCGACGAUCAGUAGCCGACCUGAGAGGGUGAUCGGCCACAUUGGAACUGAGACACGGUCCAAACUCCUACGGGAGGCAGCAGUGGGGAAUAUUGCACAAUGGGCGAAAGCCUGAUGCAGCAACGCCGCGUGAGUGAUGAAGGCCUUCGGGUCGUAAAACUCUGUCCUCAAGGAAGAUAAUGACGGUACUUGAGGAGGAAGCCCCGGCUAACUACGUGCCAGCAGCCGCGGUAAUACGUAGGGGGCUAGCGUUAUCCGGAUUUACUGGGCGUAAAGGGUGCGUAGGCGGUCUUUCAAGUCAGGAGUGAAAGGCUACGGCUCAACCGUAGUAAGCUCUUGAAACUGGGAGACUUGAGUGCAGGAGAGGAGAGUGGAAUUCCUAGUGUAGCGGUGAAAUGCGUAGAUAUUAGGAGGAACACCAGUUGCGAAGGCGGCUCUCUGGACUGUAACUGACGCUGAGGCACGAAAGCGUGGGGAGCAAACAGGAUUAGAUACCCUGGUAGUCCACGCUGUAAACGAUGAGUACUAGGUGUCGGGGGUUACCCCC
This 808-nucleotide ribosomal RNA is filed under the name Clostridioides difficile. RNAcentral's name for it is "bacterial SSU rRNA". It matches the Rfam family "Bacterial small subunit ribosomal RNA", at positions 1 to 841 of the family's 1533-position model. Lineage: Bacteria; Bacillati; Bacillota; Clostridia; Peptostreptococcales; Peptostreptococcaceae. The record is from RNAcentral.